AUCACUUUUGUGGGGGCUCUGAAAGGUGUCCUUUGCUAACUCUGAACUCCUAGUUUUUCCUUAACCCUUCUGAAACAAUGUCUCAUGAUAGCAACCAGCUUUCCAGGUCUGACUUCAGGAGCAUAGCCUGCCUUUGCUAUUCCAGUGCCUAAUAUUACUCACCUGGCCCUGCAGCCUUGGGACUUUAACAGUGUGGCAGCUUGAAUUCACUCAGACACCAUAAAGAAGUGCCUUGGGUAUCUCUAACUGCCCUGACUUGUAGAAAUGGGUGCUUUCUCAGCAAAAAUGCACAGGAAAAGGAUGUGGAUCACCUACUAUAAGCUUGACUCUUCCUGCAACUGUCAUGAUGAAAACCCUGCUGGACAGCAGUGAACUGUUAGUUUUUAAUUGUCCCAGCAAAUAUUUGUGCCUCUGACCAGUUGCAUGAACGAGUCGGAUGUCUCUGUGGGAAUCUAAAAUAUAAAGACAACACACUCCUACAAGUGUUUGAUCCUGAAGACUCUGAGUAUGGCACUUGAUUUUGCUUUAAAAGAGAAAGCUACCUCAAUUGUAGGCCUGAGGCUGCUGCUGUUCCACUUGUGGGUGGCAAACCCUGUGAAUAAAUGGAUGGGAGGACUCUGAUACCUGCUUUUCUGACCCCCUUCUCCCAGGCUGCCAGACCCCUCCUGGUUGGAGUUCCAGGAGCCUGGGACUCCAAAUCCCAGCUCUGCAGUACCUGGGGAGGGAGCGGAGAAGGAAAAGCUAUGGCUAAAUAGGUGACUAACUCCUGUACUCAGUGGGGUCCUCUUGAACCUUGGGUGACUUGGUUGCCAGAAAGCCUUGUAGAUAUUAUUGCAACCAGAAGGCAAUGUUGGCCCUCUACUUUGGGGGUGAAAAGGAUGCAAGACGGCUCUCAAGGGAACCAUCUUUCCAUGAGGGAAGAAGACCGUAUCUAUCACCUGGCCAACGAACGCUAAGGGGCCCAAAGUUGGGCACUGUCCACUCUGCAGAUCUUCAAACCGUGUGGGCUUAUCAGAAAGUCCUGUUUCCCCCUCCUGAGGGUAUUUCUCUCAGAAGAAACAAUCCAACCUUUUCAUCUUUAGUAAGAAGGAGAUCUCUUACACUGGUUCACUGUAUUGUCCCCUAGGGAGGCCACCCCAUACCACAGUUCACAUCCUUUUGCUUUCUUUUAGGGUCUCUUAAAAGCUGACCUGCCUUACUGAAACAACUGAUAAAAACGCCAGGCCAGAUAAUAUCUGUUGUCUCCUCUCCCCCCUUCCCCAGCAACUUGGCUACUUGAGAUGUUCAAACAGUGAAUAAUUGAUACUUGAUUCCAAACACUGAACCUGAUACUUGACCUGGAGGGAUGUUAAUUAUCACCCAAGAAAGCAAAUACAGCCUACAAAAUCCAAAUACUUUUCUGUUCCUGAUUUAUGCUUGCCUUUUAAAUGGUACAAAGGACUCGUUCCAAAAGCACUUUGGCA
Molecule: long non-coding RNA, 1463 nt
Organism: Alligator sinensis (Chinese alligator)
Lineage: Eukaryota; Metazoa; Chordata; Crocodylia; Alligatoridae
Exons: 2
Source: RefSeq, a predicted model, not a curated record